UACGUAUGGUGCAAGCGUUAUCCGGAUUUACUGGGUAUAAAGGGAGCGUAGACGGAGUGGCAAGUCUGAUGUGAAAACCCGGGGCUCAACCCCGGGACUGCAUUGGAAACUGUCAAUCUAGAGUACCGGAGAGGUAAGCGGAAUUCCUAGUGUAGCGGUGAAAUGCGUAGAUAUUAGGAGGAACACCAGUGGCGAAGGCGGCUUACUGGACGGUAACUGACGUUGAGGCUCGAAAGCGUGGGGAGCAAACAGG
Molecule: ribosomal RNA, 253 nt
Filed under: Mediterraneibacter faecis JCM 15917
Lineage: Bacteria; Bacillati; Bacillota; Clostridia; Lachnospirales; Lachnospiraceae
Description: [Ruminococcus] faecis JCM 15917 partial 16S ribosomal RNA
Rfam family: Bacterial small subunit ribosomal RNA
Source: RNAcentral